GGGUCGGUGGUCUAGCUUGGCUACAAUCCGUCACUCGUGACCGGUUGCCAAAAAUGAUUCUUGGUUUGGGUCCAAGGGAUCCCCGGUUCAAAUCCGGGCCGGCCCACCA
Molecule: transfer RNA, 109 nt
Filed under: Candidatus Thorarchaeota archaeon
Lineage: Archaea; Promethearchaeati; Candidatus Thorarchaeota
Description: tRNA-Pro
Source: RNAcentral